Non-coding RNA from Pelodiscus sinensis (Chinese soft-shelled turtle), 1788 nucleotides. Lineage: Eukaryota; Metazoa; Chordata; Testudines; Trionychidae. The record is from RefSeq and is a predicted model, not a curated record.
ACAAUCUACUGUUUUUCAUAGGAAGAAGGCCAAGAUCAAGAUACUGUAGCUGAAGAAAAUUUGGCGUGGAGGUUUCUUUCUUUUUCCCAGAUUAGUGUUUUGUUGGAACAAAAUAUAGAAGGAGUUCAAAAGAAACUGGAGGAGUUUCUGAAUUUCAGACAAGUUAAAACAUCUUUGAAGGAAGCUGUUUUACUAGAUUAUUAUGGAUCGGGAUUUUGGUGGGCUAAAGAAAGGGACUUCACUCAUCUACAGCUCUCAGGAUUCAUGGCUGUCUUGAACUUUGUAUUGGAGAACAUCAGCACCAAACAUAUGACACUAGAGGACAACAUAAAAGAGCUUGGGAGAGCAAUGGCUGGAAUAGGGGAGUCACAUUCAGAAAAAAGUGGUGGUCUGGAUUUCUUCAGUGUUGAUCAAGCCAAGGCUAUAAUCAGUUACUUGAAGAGCAGCUUAUUUCAACACUACAAACUAUAUGAAUAUCUUUUCCACAGUCCCAGGGAAGAACUUGUAAUAGGCAUUGAUGUAAGUAAUUUAUAUGAAUAGAACUGAUUGAGCAGAAUUAUUUAAUGCAUGUCCUAUGACAUCUGCUUUAUAAAGCUCAAAGCAACUUAGUCAAAAUUGCUCAAGUGUUAACAGUACAGAACAGAAUAUUAAAAGUUAGGUACAGUGAUAUAUGUCUUCGCAAUGAGUUAGGAUUUAGAAAAAAUGUGAUUUUCUUAGCUGUAAUGUUAAAUCUGUUGAAUUAAAAAUAUCAUUCUGUACAGUAUUUGUAAUAAUGAUUUUCAAGAGUUUAAUUGAAUAAUGCAUGGCUCUACUUUGAGAUCAGUAAUCAAAAUCAGAAAAGAUUACAUACAAUAACUCUGUGAGUACCACAAUUCUAGGAUACGUAGACCCAUUCUUUUUAAUGGUAACUAUAAACAAGACUAAUAUUGUUUGUAUUGGAACAUUUUAAUUAGAAAUGUAAUAUUUUUAAGGCCACGUUUACACUGUGUGUAGACGUGGCCUUAAAAGUGUUAUAUGUCUAAUUAAAAUGUUAACUGUAUUAUGGUUGAUUUCUUAUCACCGGCUAAAUAAAAGAAAUUAAAAUUUUGUUUCAUUUUAGAGACUACUGCAUUUUAUCUGUAACAGUAUAGCAGGGCAUGUUAUCAUUCACUGACUGAGGUGAAUCCUGGUUCCUUGAUGAAACUAGCAAAAACUCCCACUAAUUGAAGUAGAUUCAGGGUUUCACCCUUAGUCUUCAUUUUUUUUUUCUAGUAUUAGCUAAUCAUGUAAAUGAUUGGUUCACGCUUGCAUAUUGGCAACAUUAUUUUUAAAAAGUGAAGCUUCAGUUAAGAGUGUAUUAUAAAUUAAUUGAAAAUCUUUUAAAAUUGUUUUUACGUAAAGCUCAUUUCUGAAUGGCUAAAAUCAAUUAUCUGAGUCAGUAUGCAGCUAUUCAGUGAUGGAACAGUGAAUAAAUGUCAGCUAUACCCAAUGUCUACCUCUCAAAAUGACACACCAUCUUCUUUAUUAAUCAUUUGGUGCAGUAGGGAUAAAAACACUGGAAAAGAAUACUGUCAUGAAUGAAUAUCUCUGUUUGUCUUGGCAUUUAUCUACCAUCAGACACAGUUAUCCUGUGACAUUCAGAUUUCCCCUAAAAACAAACUUAUGGUUUGAAACAUAUCAGUGAUGAAAUUGAAUGUGGAUAAAUAUAAAGUAAUGCACGUUGGAAAAAAUAACCGCAACUAUACAUACCAUAUAAUGGGGAUUAAUUUAGCUACAGCUAAUCAGGAAAGAGAUUUGGAGUCAUCGUGG